RNAcentral lists this ribosomal RNA (254 nucleotides) under uncultured bacterium. RNAcentral describes it as "partial 16S ribosomal RNA". It matches the Rfam family "Bacterial small subunit ribosomal RNA", at positions 524 to 776 of the family's 1533-position model. The record is from RNAcentral.
UACGUAGGAUCCGAGCGUUGUCCGGAUUUACUGGGUGUAAAGGGUGCGCAGGCGGAAUGGUAAGUCAGAGGUGAAAUCUCGCCGCUCAACGGCGAAACUGCCUUUGAUACUAUCAUUCUUGAAUCCGGUAGAGAUCUGUGGAAUUCCGAGUGUAGCAGUGAAAUGUGUAGAUAGUUCGGAAGAACACCAGUGGCGAAGGCAGCAGAUUGGGCCGGUAUUGACGCUCAGGCACGAAAGCAUGGGGAUCAAACAGG